RNAcentral lists this ribosomal RNA (253 nucleotides) under uncultured Eubacteriales bacterium. Its description in RNAcentral is "uncultured Clostridiales bacterium partial 16S ribosomal RNA". It matches the Rfam family "Bacterial small subunit ribosomal RNA", at positions 524 to 776 of the family's 1533-position model. Lineage: Bacteria; Bacillati; Bacillota; Clostridia; Eubacteriales. The record is from RNAcentral.
UACGUAGGGGGCAAGCGUUAUCCGGAAUUACUGGGUGUAAAGGGUGAGUAGGCGGCAUGGUAAGCCAGAUGUGAAAGCCUUGGGCUUAACCCGAGGAUUGCAUUUGGAACUAUCAAGCUAGAGUACAGGAGAGGAAAGCGGAAUUCCUAGUGUAGCGGUGAAAUGCGUAGAUAUUAGGAAGAACACCAGUGGCGAAGGCGGCUUACCAAGCUACUUCUGACGUUGAGGCACGAAAGCGUGGGGAGCAAACAGG